AGCAUUAAAGAAAACCCAAUCGGGGCAGGCGGGAAGCACUCCAGCCUCCUUGCAAGCUUGGGGCGCCUCAUUCUCUCCCGUGCCCCUUCUCCCAGCUGGGUCUGAGCCCCCGCCCCCCUGGCUCCUCCGUUCUGCUUCUCCCAGCUUCUCUGUCCAUCUCCCCCAAUGGCCUCUCUCUACACUCUCUGCCUCAGCUUCCAGGUCUCUGCUGGUCCCUAGGAAGCACUUUGACCUCUGCUUCCCCUUCAAAUGCUGUGGAUCAAGCCUCCCCAACCCCACCAUCCCACCAAAGGGGGCUGCUGACCGAGAGAGCUCACUCAGCCAGCUGCUCCCUCUACCUGGAAACCUCCAUUUGUCAAGCUGCUGCUGUCUUCAAGAUCUACCUGGUCAGAAUCUCCUGCUGUCCUCUUCUGCCACCCACAGCAAUGUGAGCCUUCACUGGCUGGCCUUCCCUACUCACUGGAGCAGAGCUACGGCAUCAGAAUGCCCUGGAGCAGGGGUUAGAAACACAGAUUUCUGAGUCUACACUCGAAGAUUUUUUUUUCUUUCUUUCUUUUUUUUUGUUUUCCAAUUUUUCUAAUUUUAGAGAUGGGGUCUCACCACGUUGCCCAGGCUGGUCUCAAGCUCCUGGACUCAGGUCAUCCUACCACCUAGGCCUUCUAAAGUGUUAGGAUGAGCCCUGAACCUUGUAACAUGAACAUUUAUUAGUUAUAUCUGGAAAAAAAUAUAAAGUUAUUUUUAUUUGGGUGAUACUGCCUUCAAAAAACAAAAACAAAAAAAAACAGGAGGCCGAGCACAGUGGCUCAUGCCUGUAAUCCCAGUGCUUUGGGAGGCUGAGGCAGGCGGAUCACUUGAGACCAGGAGUUCAAGACCAGCCUGGCCAACAUAGUGAAACCCCGCUUCUAUUAAAAAUACAAAAAUGGGCCAGGCACGGUGGCUCAUACCUGUAAUCCCAGCACUUUGGGAGGCCGAGGCGAGUGAAUCACGAGGUCAAGAGAUCAAGACCAUCCUGGUAAACAUGGAGAAACCCUGUCUCUACUAAAAAUACAAAAAUUAGCUGGGCACGGUGUCACGUGCCUGUAGUCCCAGCUACUAGAGAAGCUGAGUCAGCGGAAUCGCUUGAACCCAGGAGGUAGAGGUUGCAGUGAGCUGAGAUUGCACCACUGCACUCCAGCCUGGGCGACAGAGUGAGACUCUGUCUCAAAAAAAAAAAAAAAAAAAUUAGCCAAGUGUGGUGGCACAUGCCUGUAAUCCCAAUUACUCGGGAGGCUGAGGCAGAAGAAUUGCUUGAACCUGGGAGGUGGAGGUUUCAGUGAGCCAAGAUCGCACCACUGCCCUCCAGCCUGGGCAAUAGAGCAAGACUCCAUCUCACAAAAUAAAAAGCCAAAAAAAGCUCUCGACAGUUCUGUUCCCCGCCUGAGGUGUUUGUCUCAGGAUCCCGGCCUGGCUGUGGGCCACAGAUGGCAAAAACCAAGGUCCGUCUAUUACUGGGCAUCCAGGGUUUCAUAAUCUCUACGACCUCCAUGCCUGGAACUCCACACAUUGCGCAUGCCCCAGAAACGCUUGCCCAACGGACCCCAAUCCACCAUUUCUGAAUGCAUUUUUCAUGACUUGCUGAAUGUGUCUUGUUAAUCCAAUUAGAUUGUAAACUCCGGGAGUGCAGGGACAACGUUGACCUUCCUAUUACUCCCCUCACCCCCGCCCAGCUCUGGGCUGGGCACACAGUGACCCUCAAGGGUAGCACAAAGACUUGAGGCAAGAAAAACACCUGUAGAAGGAAAAGGCUGGAUACUGGGAGCGCCUCUGUCUGCUUUGCUGCCAUCCUCUUCUUCAACAACAAAGGACACGCUAAUUCUAUGCAGCAAAAGUUUCCAAACACGUUAGCCUAAGAAUUUCGAGUCAUGCAAAAAAUAAAUUCCCAGAGUCACAGGGUUAAAAAAAAUCAGAUUCCAGGGCCCCAUCCUUGUUGUUCCUGAGUCAGACUCCCCAGUCAAACUGCCAGAGAACCUCGUCUUUGAACAAACACUUCAGGCAACUUUCCCAGGAUAAAGCAAGUUUCAGAAACUCUCACACAGCUUCUUAGGUAUCUCAGAUAUGGCUCUUGCCCUCCAGAUGUUUACAAAUGAAAACAAGAAAUCUGGUUCCAACAAGCAAAAGCCCAGAGAGACCUCAAACACAAAGAUGCAAAUCAAAAUUAGUAGAGAAAUAAAUGAGCCGGGACGUUGUACUUCGGUCGCGGGGCUGGCUGAGGUCACUACCUGCACAGCCGACUGUUGGAAGUUCUGCGGUAUACCAGCUGAAUGGCCUUGAACAAGUCCCAUCUCCACUCGGAGCCUCCGUUUCCGCAUCUGUAGAAUGGGGAUAUGUGGGCCUAACUCACAGCGUUGUGAGAAUUCAACAAGAACACAUCAAGCAGCUGUGAAUGUAGCAAGCCGGCAUUUGAUUAAAUGUUAGUUUUCGUCCUAAGAAAAAUAGCUAAUAUUUCUGAGCACUUACGGCCGAGCCCUGAGCUAACAUUUACUUCCUCCUUUAACUCCCACAACAACCCAAUGAGGUAGGAUCUAUUAUUAUCCCCAUUUCACAGAUGCGGAAAUUAAGACACAGAAAGGUUAAAAAAAAAACACGCACAGGCCAGGCGUGGUGGAUCACCCCCUGUAAUCUCAGCACUUUGGGAGGUGGAGCCUGGAGGAUCGCUUGAGGCCAGGAGUUUGAGACUAGCCUGGGCAACAUAGCAAGACCCUGUCUCUAUAAAAAAAAAUUUAAAGCUGAGUGCAGUGGCUCACGCCUGUAACCCCAACACUUUGAGAGGCUGAGGCAGGUGAACUCUUGAGCCCAGGAAUUCAAGACCAAACUGGGCAGCAUAGUGAGACCCUGUCUCUUAAAAAAAAAAAAAUCAGCUGGGCGUGGUGGUGCAUGCCUGUGAUCCCAACUACUCGGGAGGCUGAGGUGGGAGGAUCGCUUGAGCCCAGGAGUUUGAGGUCUCAGUGAGCUAUGAUUGUGCCAUUGCGCUCCAGCCUGCACAACAGAGAAAGGUCUGUCUUAAAAAAAAAAAAAAAAAGAAAAGAAAGAAAAGAAAAAAGAACCCAACGUCUCCCAACCAGGAAAUGGCAGAGCUGGGAUUAGAGCCUAGAAAACCUAUCCUGUAGCCCCAGGAGGAAAUAGCCUCACGGGAGCAAAACCACCAGGUGUUUAGGACUCAUGAAAAUUAUACAUUGGCUUCUUUGGGAAAAGUGGCCCAUUCAGCUGAGCAGGACCCAAAAUAGCAAAAGGGCCAAGGACAGCCCGCCUGCCCUAGGUGUGGCCCCAGCCAGGAUUCCUAGCCCUGCGAGUUUUCCCAGAUUGGCCAACACACGUCUGAACCCCUGGGAUCAGGAAGUGCCAAUGCCUGGGUCUUGCUAAAGCCAUUUACCGUCGACAGAUAUCCCACCGAUGGCCAAGUGCCAGUUAGUCACGGCCUCAGUGCAGCACCUCAUCCCUCCCAGAAAGCCAUGGCUCUGGACUCCACCCACUGAAAACAGGGCUUUUGUGGGAAUACAAUGGGACAAGAAGAAAAACAUGCUGAACCUGAUCUCCAUGGGACCUGAUGUGGAGUCACGUUCAUUCACAUCACUGGCUUGCAGCCUCUCCACUCACAAGUUAUUGAUAAUCGAAAAAAUAAAACACCAUGCGAUCGUAUUUCUGGGCAGAUAGAAUGCAAGAGCCUGGGGCACUGGUUGUUUCUGGGGAGGGGAAGGGAACCGAGAGACCCAAGAAGAGGGUGGACAAGCUAGGCACGGUGGCUCACCCCUGUAAUCCCAGCAUUUUGGGAGGCCAAGGCAGGCAGACACUUGAGGUCAGGAGUUCGAGAUCACCCUGGCCAACAUGGUGAAACCCUGUCUCUACUAAAAACAUAAAAAUUAGCCAGGCGUGGUGGCAGGUGCCUAUAAUCGCAGCCACUCAGGAGUCUGAGGCAGGGGAAUCACUUGAACCUGGAGGCAGAGAUUGCAGUAACCGGAGAUCGUGCCAUUGCAUUCCAUCCUGGGCGACAGAGCGAAACUCCGUCUCAAAGAAAAAAAUAAAAGGACUAUGAGUGGGAGCAGAUGUAGGGAGAUGCAAGGGACGGAGUAUCAGGAGAACAGUACCUGUUCUGGGCUCUCCGCUAAUCAAACCCAACCACCAGGCAGAGGCAUGGGAGACCCCCACACACAGAGCAGGGUGGAGACAGGAGAAGCGAUCGCAGAAGAGGCCAGACCACCACCCAAUAGAUGUGGGUAACUAUUCAAAACUCAGAUCAUCUGAACAGAAAAAGGUAAAUGCUAUGAGCUAAAAACUUCAAGGUUCUUUGCAUCAGUGCCCUUUUUUUUUUUUCCUGAAGUUAUUUCAAGUUGGAUUUCUACCACUUGCAAACCAAAGAGUCUUGCCGAACAGAGACGGAAACAUGGAAGAUUUCAUUGAAGUGGAAACCUGGCAUUGUAAUUGCCCACUGCUUGUAAAAUUCAGGCCAGUGUGGUGGCUCACGCCUGUAAUCCCAACACUUCGGGAGGCUGAGGUGGGCAGAUCGCCUGAGCCCAGAAGUUCAAGACCAGCCUGGGCAACAUGGCAAGACCCUGUCUCUAUAAAAAAUUUUGGUUUAAAGCUAAGUGCAGUGGCUCACACCUGUAAUGCCAACUCUUUGGGAGGCUGAAGCAGGUUAAUUGCUUGAGCCCAGGAGGUCGAGACCAAACUGGGCAACAUAGUGAGACCCCAUCUCUAAAAAAAGAGAAGAAAAGAAAAUCAGCAGGGAGUGUUGGCACAUGCCAGUGGUCCCAGCUAUUCAGGAGGCCGAGGUGGAAGAAUCACCUGAACCCAGGAAGGUCAAGGCUGCAGCAAGCUGUGAUAGUGCCACUGCACUCCAGCCUGGACAACAGAGCAAGACCCUGUCUCAAAAUAAGUACAUAGGCUGGGCGAGGUGGCUCAUGCCUGUAAUCCUAGCACUUUGGGAGGUCGAGGCGGGCAGAUCAUUUGGGGUAAGGAGUUCGAGACCAGUUUGGCCAACACGGUGAAACCCCGUCUCUACUAAAAAUACAAAAAAAAUUAGCUGGGUGUGGUGGCACAUGCCUGUAAUCCCAGCUACUUGGGGAGGCUGAGGCAGAAGAAUUACUUGAACCUGGGAGACAGAGAUCGCGUCACUGCACUCCAGCCUGGUUGACAGUGCGAGACUCUCAAAAAAAAUUGGCCAGGCAUAGUGGCUCACGCCUGUAAUCCUAGCACUUUGGGAGGCCGAGGUGGGUGGAUCACCUGAGGUCAGGAGUUCGAGACCAGCCUGGCCAACGUGGCGAAACCCCGUCUCUACUAAAAAAUACAAAAAUUAGCUGGGCAUGGUGGCACAUGCCUGUAAUCCCAGCUACUUGCGAGGCUGAGGCUGGAGAAUCACUUGAACCUGGGAGGCAGAGGUUGCAGUGAGCUGAGAUCGCGCCACUGCACUACAGCCUGGGUGACAGAGUGAGACUCUGUCUCAAAAAAAAAAAAAAUCAAUUAAUUUAGCUUAAUUCAGCUGCUUCACCUUGGCCUACAAGGGGCUGGGCCACCCUGUCCAAUCCAUGAUCACCUUUUUCCACUGUCCACCUGCAGUGCACAGCAAGUCGCCUACAGCUCCUCCCAUACCCACAGCCCCUUCCUGCCUGGGACCUUCGCCCAUGCUGUUCCUCCUGCCUGAACCCCUCUCCUAGCUCUUCCUCCCAUCAGCACCUCAUUGUCAUCCCUUCCCUAUCCUGUGGUCUGAAUGUUUGUGUCCUCCCAAAGUUCAUAUGUGGAAUCCUAGCCCCCCAGGUGGUGGUAUUAAGAGGUGGGGACUUUGGGGGCAGGAUUAGUUCCCUUAUCAAAGAGGCCCAAGGGAGCUUGUUUGUCCCUUGCACCAGGUGAGGGCCCCGCAAGAAGGUGCCCUUGCUGGAGAUCCCAGACUCUAUGAGAAAUAUUGUUUAUAAGUAACCCAGUUUAUGUUUUUUUGGUUUUUUGGUUUUUUUUUUUCAAGGUGGAGUCUCGCUCUGUGGCCCAGGCAAUCUCGGCUCACUACAACCUCCGCCUCCCAGGUUCAGGCGAUUCUCCUUCCUCAGCCUUCUGAGUAGCUGGAAUUACAGGCACCCGCCACCAUACCCAUCUAAUUUUUGUAUUUUUAGUAGAGACGAGGUUUCACCAUGUUGGCCAGGCUGGUCUCGAACUCCUGGCCUCAAGCAAUCCUCCCGCCUCGGCCUCCCAAAGUGUUGGGAUUACAAGCAUGAGUCACCAUGCCUGGCCUAUGGUAUUUUUUUAUAGCAGCAGGAACAGACUAAGACAUCCUACUUCUCAGCUUAAACGUCACCUCUGCACAGAGCCCUUCGUGAUACAUCUGAACAGAUUCUUUUCUGUGACUCUCCAUCCCUGCACUGUAUUUGCUCUUUCAGGGUGCUUUUUCACAUUUGUGAGGGUGUAUGCAUCUCCUCUUCCAGGCUGUAAGCUUCAUAAAGUCUCUGUUUUGUUCAUAACUAGAACAAGCCCUAGCACCUAGCAGUGAGUGUUCAUUAAACAUAUGAAGAAUGA
Molecule: long non-coding RNA, 6534 nt
Filed under: Homo sapiens (human)
Lineage: Eukaryota; Metazoa; Chordata; Mammalia; Primates; Hominidae
Description: HSALNT0370992
Source: RNAcentral